AGAGUUUGAUCCUGGCUCAGAUUGAACGCUGGCGGCAUGCCUUACACAUGCAAGUCGAACGGCAGCACGGGUGCUUGCACCUGGUGGCGAGUGGCGAACGGGUGAGUAAUAUAUCGGAACGUACCCUAGAGUGGGGGAUAACGUAGCGAAAGUUACGCUAAUACCGCAUACGAUCUACGGAUGAAAGUGGGGGAUCGCAAGACCUCAUGCUCAUGGAGCGGCCGAUAUCUGAUUAGCUAGUUGGUGGGGUAAAAGCCUACCAAGGCGACGAUCAGUAGCUGGUCUGAGAGGACGACCAGCCACACUGGAACUGAGACACGGUCCAGACUCCUACGGGAGGCAGCAGUGGGGAAUUUUGGACAAUGGGGGCAACCCUGAUCCAGCAAUGCCGCGUGAGUGAAGAAGGCCUUCGGGUUGUAAAGCUCUUUUGUCAGGGAAGAAACGGGAUUUUCUAAUACAAAGUCCUAAUGACGGUACCUGAAGAAUAAGCACCGGCUAACUACGUGCCAGCAGCCGCGGUAAUACGUAGGGUGCAAGCGUUAAUCGGAAUUACUGGGCGUAAAGCGUGCGCAGGCGGUUGUGCAAGACAGAUGUGAAAUCCCCGGGCUCAACCUGGGAAUUGCAUUUGUGACUGCACGGCUAAAGUGUGUCAGAGGGGGGUAGAAUUCCACGUGUAGCAGUGAAAUGCGUAGAGAUGUGGAGGAAUACCGAUGGCGAAGGCAGCCCCCUGGGAUAACACUGACGCUCAUGCACGAAAGCGUGGGGAGCAAACAGGAUUAGAUACCCUGGUAGUCCACGCCCUAAACGAUGUCUACUAGUUGUCGGGUCUUAAUUGACUUGGUAACGCAGCUAACGCGUGAAGUAGACCGCCUGGGGAGUACGGUCGCAAGAUUAAAACUCAAAGGAAUUGACGGGGACCCGCACAAGCGGUGGAUGAUGUGGAUUAAUUCGAUGCAACGCGAAAAACCUUACCUACCCUUGACAUGUACGGAACUUACCAGAGAUGGUUUGGUGCUCGAAAGAGAACCGUAACACAGGUGCUGCAUGGCUGUCGUCAGCUCGUGUCGUGAGAUGUUGGGUUAAGUCCCGCAACGAGCGCAACCCUUGUCAUUAGUUGCUACGAAAGGGCACUCUAAUGAGACUGCCGGUGACAAACCGGAGGAAGGUGGGGAUGACGUCAAGUCCUCGUGGCCCUUAUGGGUAGGGCUUCACACGUCAUACAAUGGUACAUACAGAGGGCCGCCAACCCGCGAGGGGGAGCUAAUCCCAGAAAGUGUAUCGUAGUCCGGAUUGUAGUCUGCAACUCGACUACAUGAAGUUGGAAUCGCUAGUAAUCGCGGAUCAGCAUGUCGCGGUGAAUACGUUCCCGGGUCUUGUACACACCGCCCGUCACACCAUGGGAGCGGGUUUCACCAGAAGUAGGUAGCCUAACCGCAAGGAGGGCGCUUACCACGGUGGGAUUCGUGACUGGGGUGAAGUCGUAACAAGGUA
RNAcentral lists this ribosomal RNA (1491 nucleotides) under metagenome. RNAcentral's name for it is "bacterial SSU rRNA". It matches the Rfam family "Bacterial small subunit ribosomal RNA". The record is from RNAcentral.